RNAcentral lists this ribosomal RNA (883 nucleotides) under Escherichia coli. Its description in RNAcentral is "partial 23S ribosomal RNA". It matches the Rfam family "Bacterial large subunit ribosomal RNA", at positions 107 to 1032 of the family's 2925-position model. Lineage: Bacteria; Pseudomonadati; Pseudomonadota; Gammaproteobacteria; Enterobacterales; Enterobacteriaceae. The record is from RNAcentral.
GCGAUUUCCGAAUGGGGAAACCCAGUGUGUUUCGACACACUAUCAUUAACUGAAUCCAUAGGUUAAUGAGGCGAACCGGGGGAACUGAAACAUCUAAGUACCCCGAGGAAAAGAAAUCAACCGAGAUUCCCCCAGUAGCGGCGAGCGAACGGGGAGGAGCCCAGAGCCUGAAUCAGUGUGUGUGUUAGUGGAAGCGUCUGGAAAGGCGUGCGAUACAGGGUGACAGCCCCGUACACAAAAAUGCACAUAUUGUGAGCUCGAUGAGUAGGGCGGGACACGUGGUAUCCUGUCUGAAUAUGGGGGGACCAUCCUCCAAGGCUAAAUACUCCUGACUGACCGAUAGUGAACCAGUACCGUGAGGGAAAGGCGAAAAGAACCCCGGCGAGGGGAGUGAAAAAGAACCUGAAACCGUGUACGUACAAGCAGUGGGAGCCUCUUUAUGGGGUGACUGCGUACCUUUUGUAUAAUGGGUCAGCGACUUAUAUUCUGUAGCAAGGUUAACCGAAUAGGGGAGCCGAAGGGAAACCGAGUCUUAACUGGGCGUUAAGUUGCAGGGUAUAGACCCGAAACCCGGUGAUCUAGCCAUGGGCAGGUUGAAGGUUGGGUAACACUAACUGGAGGACCGAACCGACUAAUGUUGAAAAAUUAGCGGAUGACUUGUGGCUGGGGGUGAAAGGCCAAUCAAACCGGGAGAUAGCUGGUUCUCCCCGAAAGCUAUUUAGGUAGCGCCUCGUGAAUUCAUCUCCGGGGGUAGAGCACUGUUUCGGCAAGGGGGUCAUCCCGACUUACCAACCCGAUGCAAACUGCGAAUACCGGAGAAUGUUAUCACGGGAGACACACGGCGGGUGCUAACGUCCGUCGUGAAGAGGGAAACAACCCAGAC